Molecule: ribosomal RNA, 254 nt
Filed under: uncultured bacterium
Lineage: Bacteria
Description: partial 16S ribosomal RNA
Rfam family: Bacterial small subunit ribosomal RNA
Source: RNAcentral
UACGGGGGGAGCAAGCGUUGUUCGGAUUUACUGGGCGUAAAGGGCGCGUAGGCGGUCAGCACAAGUCAGUUGUGAAAUCUCCGGGCUUAACUCGGAAAGGUCAACUGAUACUGUGCGACUAGAGUGCAGAAGGGGCAACUGGAAUUCUCGGUGUAGCGGUGAAAUGCGUAGAUAUCGAGAGGAACACCUGCGGCGAAGGCGACUUCCUGGCCUGUUCUUGACGCUGAGGCGCGAAAGCUAGGGUAGCAAACGGG